RNAcentral lists this unclassified non-coding RNA (348 nucleotides) under soil metagenome. Its description in RNAcentral is "partial contains 5.8S ribosomal RNA, internal transcribed spacer 2, and large subunit ribosomal RNA". The stretch from base 1 to 120 matches the Rfam family "5.8S ribosomal RNA", at positions 35 to 154 of the family's 154-position model. The record is from RNAcentral.
GAUGAAGAACGUAGCGAAAUGCGAUAAGUAAUGUGAAUUGCAGAAUUCAGUGAAUCAUCGAGUCUUUGAACGCACAUUGCGCCCCCUGGUAUUCCGGGGGGCAUGCCUGUCCGAGCGUCAUUGCUGCCCUCAAGCACAGCUUGUGUGUUGGGCCCCCGUCCCCGGUUUCCCCCGGGGACGGGCCCGAAAGGCAGCGGCGGCACCGCGUCCGGUCCUCGAGCGUAUGGGGCUUUGUCACCCGCUCUGUAGGCCCGGCCGGCGCCGGCCGACACCCAACUUUAUUUCUAAGGUUGACCUCGGAUCAGGUAGGGAUACCCGCUGAACUUAAGCAUAUCAAUAAGCGGAGGA